Molecule: ribosomal RNA, 662 nt
Filed under: Salmonella enterica subsp. enterica serovar 1,4,[5],12:i:-
Lineage: Bacteria; Pseudomonadati; Pseudomonadota; Gammaproteobacteria; Enterobacterales; Enterobacteriaceae
Description: partial 23S ribosomal RNA
Rfam family: Bacterial large subunit ribosomal RNA
Source: RNAcentral
GGGCGUUAAGUUGCAGGGUAUAGACCCGAAACCCGGUGAUCUAGCCAUGGGCAGGUUGAAGGUUGGGUAACACUAACUGGAGGACCGAACCGACUAAUGUUGAAAAAUUAGCGGAUGACCUGUGGCUGGGGGUGAAAGGCCAAUCAAACCGGGAGAUAGCUGGUUCUCCCCGAAAGCUAUUUAGGUAGCGCCUCGUGAAUUCAUCUCCGGGGGUAGAGCACUGUUUCGGCUAGGGGGCCAUCCCGGCUUACCAACCCGAUGCAAACUGCGAAUACCGGAGAAUGUUAUCACGGGAGACACACGGCGGGUGCUAACGUCCGUCGUGAAGAGGGAAACAACCCAGACCGCCAGCUAAGGUCCCAAAGUCAUGGUUAAGUGGGAAACGAUGUGGGAAGGCCCAGACAGCCAGGAUGUUGGCUUAGAAGCAGCCAUCAUUUAAAGAAAGCGUAAUAGCUCACUGGUCGAGUCGGCCUGCGCGGAAGAUGUAACGGGGCUAAACCAUGCACCGAAGCUGCGGCAGCGACGCUGAUGCGUUGUUAGGUAGGGGAGCGUUCUGUAAGCCUGCGAAGGUGACCUGUGAGGGUUGCUGGAGGUAUCAGAAGUGCGAAUGCUGACAUAAGUAACGAUAAAGCGGGUGAAAAGCCCGCUCGCCGGAAGACCAA